This 65-nucleotide transfer RNA is filed under the name Dipodomys ordii (Ord's kangaroo rat). It matches the Rfam family "tRNA". From Rfam's summary of the family: Transfer RNA (tRNA) molecules are approximately 80 nucleotides in length. Their secondary structure includes four short double-helical elements and three loops (D, anti-codon, and T loops). Lineage: Eukaryota; Metazoa; Chordata; Mammalia; Rodentia; Heteromyidae. The record is from Rfam by way of RNAcentral.
GGUGGCUCAUUGGUAGAGCGCUUGCCUUUCAUGCCUGAGGCCCUGGGUUCGAUUCCUCAGCACCA